GUACACUCCUGCGGGAGGCAGCAGUGGGGAAUAUUGGCCAAUGGGCGCAAGCCUGAUCCAGCCAUGCCGCGUGAGUGAUGAAGGCCCUAGGGUUGUAAAGCUCUUUCACCGGUGAAGAUAAUGACGGUAACCGGAGAAGAAGCCCCGGCUAACUUCGUGCCAGCAGCCGCGGUAAUACGAAGGGGGCUAGCGUUGUUCGGAUUUACUGGGCGUAAAGCGCACGUAGGCGGACUAUUAAGUCAGGGGUGAAAUCCCGGGGCUCAACCCCGGAACUGCCUUUGAUACUGGUAGUCUUGAGUUCGAGAGAGGUGAGUGGAAUUCCGAGUGUAGAGGUGAAAUUCGUAGAUAUUCGGAGGAACACCAGUGGCGAAGGCGGCUCACUGGCUCGAUACUGACGCUGAGGUGCGAAAGCGUGGGGAGCAAACAGGAUUAGAUACCCGAGUAGUCC
This 448-nucleotide ribosomal RNA is filed under the name uncultured organism. RNAcentral's name for it is "partial 16S ribosomal RNA". It matches the Rfam family "Bacterial small subunit ribosomal RNA", at positions 331 to 796 of the family's 1533-position model. The record is from RNAcentral.